Molecule: long non-coding RNA, 700 nt
Organism: Nicotiana attenuata
Lineage: Eukaryota; Viridiplantae; Streptophyta; Magnoliopsida; Solanales; Solanaceae
Exons: 3
Source: RefSeq, a predicted model, not a curated record
AGCAAACCCGUCAGCGCAGAAUCUAGAACCUUCAGACCCGCUAGCCACAUCAUCUCGUAGUAUAGUAUAGCCAAGUUUGCAGGUGACACGGCGUAGGUUUUGCUGACUUUCUCACCAAGUCACGACUUUGUUUUGCAGUCUUAAAGUUCAAUCUCCAGGAGAAGAUAAAUAUGGCGAUGAGAUCAGUCGUUUCAAGCAGUGGAGUCCGUCGUUUAAUGGAAGGUGGUGGGAGAUCAUCGGCUUCGGGCCUUCGCUACUUCACCGACGGCAAAGGUCGAAUCCUCAGUGAAGAAGAACGUGCUAAAGAGACCGUCUACAUUCAGAAAAUGGAAAGGGAGAGGAUGGAGAAGGCGAAGCGGAAGGCUGAAAAGGAGAAAGCUGAAAGAGAGAAAGCUGACAAGGAAAAUAUGAGUAGAAUUGAUCCUGCCAACCCCGGUUCAUCCGUUGGAGUCGAGACUCUGUAAUUCAUUUCAAUGAAUAGCUCUGUCCAGGUCUAAAACUGCUUGUUGACAACUCCUCAUGUGAUGCAAUAGCAAAGGGUUAGACUCUUAGUCUUGGUAUAUAAGUAAAUAGAUUUUCUUUUUCUCAAAGAAAUAAUAGAGUCAGAGUGAAAACGAUAUGUUACAGUAAGAAUUUCGAUUCCAGUGCUAAACUAUGUUUAAUAAGUUUGAUGCUGCAACUCAUCCGCAAUAUUCAGUUU